ACAGGCUUAACACAUGCAAGUCGAGGGGAAACGACAUCGAAAGCUUGCUUUUGAUGGGCGUCGACCGGCGCACGGGUGAGUAACGCGUAUCCAACCUGCCCAUCACUUGGGGAUAACCUUGCGAAAGUAAGACUAAUACCCAAUGACGUCUCUAGAAGACAUCUGAAAGGAAUUAAAGAUUUAUCGGUGAUGGAUGGGGAUGCGUCUGAUUAGCUUGUUGGCGGGGUAACGGCCCACCAAGGCGACGAUCAGUAGGGGUUCUGAGAGGAAGGUCCCCCACAUUGGAACUGAGACACGGUCCAAACUCCUACGGGAGGCAGCAGUGAGGAAUAUUGGUCAAUGGGCGAGAGCCUGAACCAGCCAAGUAGCGUGCAGGAUGACGGCCCUAUGGGUUGUAAACUGCUUUUAUAAGGGAAUAAAGUGAGUCUCGUGAGACUUUUUGCAUGUACCUUAUGAAUAAGGACCGGCUAAUUCCGUGCCAGCAGCCGCGGUAAUACGGAAGGUCCGGGCGUUAUCCGGAUUUAUUGGGUUUAAAGGGAGCGUAGGCCGGAGAUUAAGCGUGUUGUGAAAUGUAGACGCUCAACGUCUGCACUGCAGCGCGAACUGGUUUCCUUGAGUACGCACAAGGUGGGCGGAAUUCGUGGUGUAGCGGUGAAAUGCUUAGAUAUCACGAAGAACUCCGAUUGCGAAGGCAGCUCACUGGAGCGCAACUGACGCUGAAGCUCGAAAGUGCGGGUAUCGAACAGGAUUAGAUACCCUGGUAGUCCGCACGGUAAACGAUGGAUGCCCGCUGUUGGUCUGAAUAGGUCAGCGGCCAAGCGAAAGCAUUAAGCAUCCCACCUGGGGAGUACGCCGGCAACGGUGAAACUCAAAGGAAUUGACGGGGGCCCGCACAAGCGGAGGAACAUGUGGUUUAAUUCGAUGAUACGCGAGGAACCUUACCCGGGCUUGAAUUGCAGAGGAAGGAUUUGGAGACAAUGACGCCCUUCGGGGCCUCUGUGAAGGUGCUGCAUGGUUGUCGUCAGCUCGUGCCGUGAGGUGUCGGCUUAAGUGCCAUAACGAGCGCAACCCCUCUCCUUAGUUGCCAUCAGGUCAAGCUGGGCACUCUGGGGACACUGCCACCGUAAGGUGUGAGGA
Molecule: ribosomal RNA, 1137 nt
Filed under: uncultured bacterium
Lineage: Bacteria
Description: bacterial SSU rRNA
Rfam family: Bacterial small subunit ribosomal RNA
Source: RNAcentral